AUGAUUUUUUGCACAGGCACUUCACCCUGUCUAUUUUUGCAUAAUGGUAGGUUUAUUUGCACGCAUCCAGGCAAAAGUUGGCUUGGAUCCAUGUUUAGUUGCACAGGAAAGUGUUCUAUUGUGCAGAGAUCAUAUUCAACUCUAUUUGCUGCUUCAUGUUCCUUCUUCCUUCAACUAUGGAGAAGACCGGAGAAGAUUUGUGGCAGAUCUAGAGGGAAAGGGAAGGGGAAAGUGAAGAAGGAUGAUCUGGAGGCUAGAGGGAAGUUACUUGAUGCUGCUACCUGCUAUGGCUUUGUACUCCUUCUUAGAAUUGAAGCUUUUCUGGCCAAUUUCUUCACCUAG
RNAcentral lists this ribosomal RNA (342 nucleotides) under Triticum aestivum (bread wheat). RNAcentral's name for it is "partial small subunit ribosomal RNA". Lineage: Eukaryota; Viridiplantae; Streptophyta; Magnoliopsida; Poales; Poaceae. The record is from RNAcentral.